CCUACGGGUGGCUGCAGUGGGGAAUAUUGCACAAUGGGGGAAACCCUGAUGCAGCGACGCCGCGUGAGUGAAGAAGUAUUUCGGUACGUAAAGCUCUAUCAGCAGGGAAGAAAAUGACGGUACCUGACUAAGAAGCCCCGGCCAACUACGUGCCAGCAGCCGCGGUAAUACGUAGGGGGCAAGCGUUAUCCGGAUUUACUGGGAGUAACGGGAGCGUAGACGGCAGCGCAAGUCUGGAGUGAAAUCCCAUGGCUUAACCAUGGAGUCGCUUUGGAAACUGUGCAGCGUGAGUGCAGGAGAGGUAAGCGGAAUUCCAAGUGUAGCGGUGAAAUGCGUAGAGAUUAGGAGGAACACCAGUGGCGAAGGCGACUUACUGGACUGUAACUGACGUUGAGGCGCGAAAGCGUGGGGAGCAAACAGGAUUAGAUACCCGAGUAGUC
RNAcentral lists this ribosomal RNA (440 nucleotides) under uncultured bacterium. RNAcentral's name for it is "partial 16S ribosomal RNA". It matches the Rfam family "Bacterial small subunit ribosomal RNA", at positions 338 to 795 of the family's 1533-position model. The record is from RNAcentral.